GGCUCACCUUGCAGAGGUUGUUCCUCUGCAUGUCCAUAACUGGGCAAGAUCGGGGGAAAAAAAACGCGGCCAUUAAUUACAACCGUAAGAAGGACGAUCUGAUCCCAAUCACAGAUCCCAGCCGUGAGAUCAACCUGAGGAGGAGGAUUAUCAAUGCCUGGGGCCUCAUGUAUAAACGAUCUGAUUGUGUGGCGAUUGGGUAUUUGGAGAAAGAAAAG
Molecule: long non-coding RNA, 218 nt
Organism: Polypterus senegalus (gray bichir)
Lineage: Eukaryota; Metazoa; Chordata; Cladistia; Polypteriformes; Polypteridae
Exons: 3
Source: RefSeq, a predicted model, not a curated record